AUGGAAAUCAAGGACAAGAAAGGAGCUGAAAAUGUUGUGGCAGAUCACUUGUCGAGAUUGCAAAACAAUGCAUUAGACUCCUUGGCAAUCAAUGAUGUUUCACCAGGGAUCAAUCUUAUGCAAGUGACUAGUAUACAAAACUAUACACCAUGGUACGCAGAUAUAGUUAAUUAUCUGGUCUGUAACAAAGUUCCUAUAGAUUUUGGGUAUCAAAAGAAGAAAAAAUUCCUAUCAGAUAUGAAGCACUUCUUUUGGGAUGAACCUUACUUAUUCAAGCAUUAUGCUGAUGGUAUUGUUCGAAGAUGCUUGUCGGAAGGUGAAACUAAAAGUGUGAUCUAUCAUUGCCAUUCAUCCCCUUAUGGAGGUCAUGCAAGUACUCGAAAGACUCAAGCAAAAAUUUUGCAAGCAUGA
Molecule: ribosomal RNA, 411 nt
Filed under: Triticum aestivum (bread wheat)
Lineage: Eukaryota; Viridiplantae; Streptophyta; Magnoliopsida; Poales; Poaceae
Description: partial small subunit ribosomal RNA
Source: RNAcentral